UGGGGAAUUUUGGACAAUGGGCGAAAGCCUGAUCCAGCAAUGCCGCGUGUGUGAAGAAGGCCUUCGGGUUGUAAAGCACUUUUGUCCGGAAAGAAAUCCUUGGCUCUAAUACAGUCGGGGGAUGACGGUACCGGAAGAAUAAGCACCGGCUAACUACGUGCCAGCAGCCGCGGUAAUACGUAGGGUGCAAGCGUUAAUCGGAAUUACUGGGCGUAAAGCGUGCGCAGGCGGUUUGCUAAGACCGAUGUGAAAUCCCCGGGCCCAACCUGGGAACUGCAUUGGUGACUGGCAGGCUAGAGUAUGGCAGAGGGGGGCUAGAAUUCCACGUGUAGCAGUGAAAUGCGUAGAGAUGUGGAGGAAUACCGAUGGCGAAGGCAGCCCCCUGGGCCAAUACUGACGCUCAUGCACGAAAGCGUGGGGAGCAAACAGGAUUAGAUACCCUGGUAGUCCACGCCCUAAACGAUGUCAACUAGGUUGUUGGGGAUUCAUUUCCUUAGUAACGUAGCUAACGCGUGAAGUUGACCGCCUGGGGAGUACGGUCGCAA
RNAcentral lists this ribosomal RNA (545 nucleotides) under uncultured bacterium. RNAcentral describes it as "partial 16S ribosomal RNA". It matches the Rfam family "Bacterial small subunit ribosomal RNA", at positions 355 to 891 of the family's 1533-position model. The record is from RNAcentral.